This 275-nucleotide ribosomal RNA is filed under the name uncultured bacterium. RNAcentral's name for it is "partial 16S ribosomal RNA". It matches the Rfam family "Bacterial small subunit ribosomal RNA", at positions 524 to 794 of the family's 1533-position model. The record is from RNAcentral.
UACGUAGAGUGCAAGCGUUGCCGGAAUUAUUGGGCGUAAAGGGUACGCAGGCGGGAUAGUAAAGUCAAGCGUGAAAGGUGUCGGCUUAACCGACAGACUGCGUUUGAAACUGAUUAUCUUGAGUGUAACAGAGGAGAGUUGGAAUUCCUAGUGUAGUGGUGAAAUACGUAGAGUAUUAGGAAGAACACCUAGUAGGCGAAGGCGACUCUCUGGGUUAACACUGACGCUGAGGUACGAAAGCUGGGGGAGCAAACGGGAUUAGAUACCCGCGUAGU